GGCCCUAUUAGAUACUUGUUUUUUUCAUCAAAACCUUAAACCAUUCCAUUUUCUCUUGUGCAGGUGUAAGGGCAGAACUGAUUGCAUGCGAUACACAGCGGAUAAGAGGAAAGUGGCACUCAAUUCUGUCUUCUAAAGAGUAUCCCAAUUAGCAAACUUCUUGUUGGAGGCAUGACUGUCUUCCUAUGAAACUGAUCUGACAUUCAGCCCUGAUAUCUAAUGACUUGUUCCAGUUUCAUCUUUAAGUCUUUUUAUACAGCACUUAAAAAAAAAAUAAACACAAAUUAUUACAUCAUCAGCAGAGGAACAUAUGGGCCAUCCAAAAGAGAAGUUCCAGCUCCUUCAUAUACUGAGCAAAAGAGGUGAAGCUACUGGAG
RNAcentral lists this long non-coding RNA (377 nucleotides) under Zonotrichia albicollis (white-throated sparrow). Its description in RNAcentral is "lncRNA (ENSZALG00000008421.1)". The record is from RNAcentral. Lineage: Eukaryota; Metazoa; Chordata; Aves; Passeriformes; Passerellidae.